GCGGCUGUGGCUCAGUGGUAGAGUACCUACCUUGCAUGAGUGAAGCACUGAGUUCGAACCUCAGCACCACA
This 71-nucleotide transfer RNA is filed under the name Marmota marmota marmota (Alpine marmot). It matches the Rfam family "tRNA". From Rfam's summary of the family: Transfer RNA (tRNA) molecules are approximately 80 nucleotides in length. Their secondary structure includes four short double-helical elements and three loops (D, anti-codon, and T loops). The record is from Rfam by way of RNAcentral. Lineage: Eukaryota; Metazoa; Chordata; Mammalia; Rodentia; Sciuridae. RNAcentral also lists the same sequence under 1 other name.